This 785-nucleotide long non-coding RNA is filed under the name Malus domestica (apple). Its description in RNAcentral is "long non-coding RNA (MDOM_LNC016552)". The record is from RNAcentral. Lineage: Eukaryota; Viridiplantae; Streptophyta; Magnoliopsida; Rosales; Rosaceae.
AAACAUGACAUGUUAAAAAUCACUACUCACAUAGAUUUUAGUCAUCCUUACUCUUGAGCUUAUACUCAACUGCAAUAACCACUCACUAGCUCGCAUUUAAUCAUUUUAGAACAACAUUUGAAUGUAGUAACAUGCCUUAAAGAAUUUACUCAAUUCCUCACCGGAUAUACUCUCUAUUUUCACAUAGAUUUUCUGACUACACUCCCUAUACUAAGUAUAUGUGAGAAGAUUGAUGUAAACAUGUAGACUAGCACUCACAUAUGUUAUAAUCAAGAAGGCACUUUCUGGAAUUAUUAAUACAAACAUGUAUAAGAUCUUAUGAACGGAAUGCCACUACUUAGAAGGAGAACCAGGGAUUCCAUAUGCUCGUACCAAUUUCCAACUCCACAUAUUGAAACACAUAACAAUCAAGAUAAAAGUCUAGGGUUGUAACAGGGCUAAGGUAUUGGCUAACAAAGAAAGGUUAAGGAUAAACAAAGGUUCUUAAAGGAAUAGUAAGCAAAGUAAUGAAAUCAACACUUAGCAUUCAACUUUUGAUUGCAGUACCCAACUUUAAACACAAAGGGGAGAUUCUUACAACAUUUAGGGUCAAAUUCACAUUUUUGGACCCUUCUUCAACAACCAACACUUAUGAACUCAUUCUCACUUCUUUUCAAACUUUAUUUUUUUCUUUUCUCAACUUCUUUUGUUUUUCUUUCUUUUCUGUUUUUUUUGGAAACAUACAACAUACACACUACUUCACCAGAUUGAAAAGAAAAAAUUCUUCCCCCACACUUGUCUUUCUG